GAUGAAGAACGUAGCGAAAUGCGAUAAGUAAUGUGAAUUUCAGAAUUCAGUGAACCAUCGAAUCUUUGAACGCACAUUGCGCCCGGCAGUAAUCUGCCGGGCAUGCCUGUCCGAGCGUCAUUUCUGCCCUCGAGCGAGUCCAGCAUCUAGGUGCUGGGCCCGCCCGGCGUUGGGGCACUACGGGAAGCCCUGUGCUGUCCCCCGUAGGCCCCGAAAUGAAGUGGCGGUCCUGCCGCGGCGCCCCCUGCGUAGUAUAACAGCUCGCUUCGGGACCCGGUGGAGGCCUGCCGUCAAACCUUACUCUCUAAGUUUGACCUCGGAUCAGGUAGGGUUACCCGCUGAACUUAAGCAUAUGAAUAAGCGGAGGA
This 368-nucleotide unclassified non-coding RNA is filed under the name soil metagenome. RNAcentral describes it as "partial contains 5.8S ribosomal RNA, internal transcribed spacer 2, and large subunit ribosomal RNA". The stretch from base 1 to 120 matches the Rfam family "5.8S ribosomal RNA", at positions 35 to 154 of the family's 154-position model. The record is from RNAcentral.